GCCCCAGGAUUCCCAGGUGUUCGCAUUCUGUGAUCAGGACAGAACACAGAAACCUCAUCAUGGAGUUUGUGCUUGGCUGGGUUUUCCUUGUUGCUGUUUUAAAAGGUGUCCAGUGUGAGGUGCAGCUGGUGGAGUCUGGGGGAGGCCUGGUGAAGCCUGGAGGGUCCCUGAGACUCUCCUGUGCAGCCUCCGGAUUCACCUUCAGUGACUAUGCCAUGGGCUGGGUCCGCCAGGCUCCAGGGAAGGGGCUGCAGUGGGUCUCAAGUAUUAGUAGUAGUGGAAGUUACACAUACUAUGCAGACUCCGUGAAGGGCCGAUUCACCAUCUCCAGAGACAACGCCAAGAACACGCUCUCUCUGCAGAUGAACAACCUGAGAGCCGAGGACACGGCCAUGUAUUUCUGUGCGAGAGACACAGUGAGGAGUCAUCAGGAUAUCCUGAUGCACAUCACACAAAGCUUUACAGGAUUUCAGAUGCACCCACUGCAUCACAGGACCAUCCAGCUCAACGUGCACUCUUGCUACAAGUAG
Molecule: non-coding RNA, 530 nt
Organism: Hyaena hyaena (striped hyena)
Lineage: Eukaryota; Metazoa; Chordata; Mammalia; Carnivora; Hyaenidae
Source: the annotation of a RefSeq genome assembly